GUGCCAUAGGGAGCUGAUACAAAGCAAUGUAGCGCUCCCUCUGAGCAUUAUCUCUAUAGGCCACGUGCAUGUCAUCAAAAUCCUGCAUCCUGUAAAAGUUAAGAAAGUGAUCUUGAAAAUACAAACCAUUCAAAUCUUAGUCUCAAUGCAAAAUACGAUGAAAUAAAAUAAAAAUAAAAAAUAAAAGUAAAUAAAUGCGAAAAAG
RNAcentral lists this long non-coding RNA (205 nucleotides) under Lathyrus oleraceus (garden pea). RNAcentral's name for it is "Pisum sativum (pea) long non-coding RNA (PSAT_LNC013962)". Lineage: Eukaryota; Viridiplantae; Streptophyta; Magnoliopsida; Fabales; Fabaceae. The record is from RNAcentral.